This 465-nucleotide ribosomal RNA is filed under the name uncultured bacterium. RNAcentral describes it as "partial 16S ribosomal RNA". It matches the Rfam family "Bacterial small subunit ribosomal RNA", at positions 28 to 507 of the family's 1533-position model. The record is from RNAcentral.
GAUGAACGCUGGCGGCGUGCUUAACACAUGCAAGUCGAACGGAAAGGCUCCUGCUUGCAGGGGUACUCGAGUGGCGAACGGGUGAGUAACACGUGGGUGAUCUGCCCUGCACUUCGGGAUAAGCCUGGGAAACUGGGUCUAAUACCGGAUAGGAUGAGGGUUUGGAUGCCAUUGUGGAAAGUUUUUCGGUGUGGGAUGGGCUCGGGGCCUAUCAGCUUGUUGGUGGGGUAAUGGGCUACCAAGGCGUCGACUGGUGGCCGGCCUGGGAGGGUGGACGGCCACAUUGGGACUGAGGGACGGCGCAGACUCCUACGGGAGGCAGCAGUGGGGAAUAUUGCACAAUGGGCGCGAGCGUGAUGCAGCGGCGCCGCGUGGGGGAUGACGGCCUUUGGGUUGUAAACACCUUUCGCUAGAGACGAAGCGCAAGUGACGGUACCUAGAGAAGAAGCACCGGCUAACUACGUG